GGUGGCUCAGUGGUAGAGCACUUGCCUUUAAUGCCUGAGGCCCUGGGUUCAAUUCCUCAGCACCA
Molecule: non-coding RNA, 65 nt
Organism: Dipodomys ordii (Ord's kangaroo rat)
Lineage: Eukaryota; Metazoa; Chordata; Mammalia; Rodentia; Heteromyidae
Source: Rfam